Molecule: small nucleolar RNA, 84 nt
Organism: Capsella rubella
Lineage: Eukaryota; Viridiplantae; Streptophyta; Magnoliopsida; Brassicales; Brassicaceae
Rfam family: Small nucleolar RNA U30
Source: Rfam
UGCAGUGAUGAUGGGUUAUAAUCUCGUUAAUCUGAUAUUUUGCUGAAGAGACUUACGUCCCAACCAUUCAUUAUAUAUCUGAGC